Phyllostomus hastatus (greater spear-nosed bat) is the source of this 1364-nucleotide long non-coding RNA. RefSeq lists it as uncharacterized. The transcript has 3 exons. Lineage: Eukaryota; Metazoa; Chordata; Mammalia; Chiroptera; Phyllostomidae. The record is from RefSeq and is a predicted model, not a curated record.
GCAGGGCUAGGCUGCAGUGACAACCCCCGUUCGUGACCAUGGGAGAGUCAGGUGCCUCUGCUUCACUAGCACAGGGCCUCCUGCGGUCACGGGCAGUGGGAGAGAGAUAACGAGGCCUUCUAGCUGUUAAUUUCCUUGGCCUACACGUGGUAUAUCCGUCAUUUCUACUUAGAGGCCCAUGGACCAAAACUAGCAAUGCGGCCCCAAAGUAACUGUAAGGGAGCCUGAGAAAUGAAGGACUUGGAUUAUCUGGGGAGCCACAAAAUUAUUCUCCUUUGUAAUUUCCAUGUGUCACUGAACUUAAGAUACCAUUAUUUUAUAAAUCAUCAAGGUAGAGAAACUGCUACCAGUUACAACAGCGAUGAGCAAUCAAGUGUUUUCAAGAGUCUAUUAUGAAAUGUGCAAACAUGCAGAAAAGGUGUUAAAUUGUGGGGAAAGUGUGCCUCUUAAAACCAGCGAAUUACAGCAAUCUCCAAGAUCCUUUGUGCCUCUGCGUGGCCCACCCCUCCUCGCAAUGGCGGACCUGGGAUUUACUGACCUGUGAUCUGUCUCUAGGCUGCCUUUUCUCAACAUUUGUCUAUAAAUGGAAAGUACAAUGUAGGAGGCUGAAUCACUACCCCCAAAGGUGUUCACAUUCUAAUCCCUAGAACCUGUCAAUCUGUGCUACCUGACGGGAGGGAAACGGGGUUUUGCCCAUGUGAUUAAGGACCUCGAGAUAGGGAGGUUAUCCUGGAUUAGCCCGGAAGACCGGAUGUUCAGGGUCCUUUCCAGAGUGAGGCAGAAGGAUGGCAGUCAGAGAAGGACAUGUGAUCCGCGUGAUGACAAAAUCACAGAGAAACUGGAGGCUGCAGGUACAGAGAGGUCCAAUCAGAUCAGAUCACCAGGGAGAAGCAGGCAGGCGCUGCAGGAGGAGGUUGCCGAGAAAAUGGUAAAUAGCCCAGGACCAGAUUGGCUGGGAAACCGCCUGCCUCCAGAGCACAUGGAAUUAUGGGCAAGAAGAUCUGAAAUAAAAGAAGGGCUCUCUGUGGCUCUUCUCCCUCCAGGAUGGCCGGGGAGCUUGCUGGAGCUGCCUGCGUUUCUCAGCGGAGGGUAAUUUGGAUGGAUUUUGGAUGAGGGCGGCGGCAGGCAGCGGGUCGCCAGUUGCUGUUCGGUAACGGGACCACUCGGCUGGCUUUGAAGACGGAGGCAGGGCCCCCGAGCCAAGGGAUGCAGUCGCCUCCAGCGCAGGACCCCGCCAAGACACGGAGCGCCCCCUGGAGCCCGCCGAGGAAACAGCUCCCCUAACGCCUUGACUGUGGCCACAGGAGACUGGCUCCCGGUCUCUGCCUGGGAGGAGUGUAGGAAGAAAAUAAACGUGUGUUGUC